AGAGUUUGAUCCUGGCUCAGGAUGAACGCUGGCGGCGUGCUUAACACAUGCAAGUCGAACGAAGCACUCUAUUUGAUUUUCUUCGGAAAUGAAGAUUUUGUGACUGAGUGGCGGACGGGUGAGUAACGCGUGGGUAACCUGCCUCAUACAGGGGGAUAACAGUUGGAAACGACUGCUAAUACCGCAUAAGCGCACGGUAUCGCAUGGUACAGUGUGAAAAACUCCGGUGGUAUGAGAUGGACCCGCGUCUGAUUAGCCAGUUGGUGGGGUAACGGCCUACCAAAGCGACGAUCAGUAGCCGACCUGAGAGGGUGACCGGCCACAUUGGGACUGAGACACGGCCCAAACUCCUACGGGAGGCAGCAGUGGGGAAUAUUGCACAAUGGGGGAAACCCUGAUGCAGCGACGCCGCGUGAACG
RNAcentral lists this ribosomal RNA (419 nucleotides) under uncultured bacterium. RNAcentral describes it as "bacterial SSU rRNA". It matches the Rfam family "Bacterial small subunit ribosomal RNA", at positions 8 to 407 of the family's 1533-position model. The record is from RNAcentral.